This 1061-nucleotide long non-coding RNA is filed under the name Astyanax mexicanus (Mexican tetra). Its description in RNAcentral is "lncRNA (ENSAMXG00005005873.1)". Lineage: Eukaryota; Metazoa; Chordata; Actinopteri; Characiformes; Acestrorhamphidae. The record is from RNAcentral.
UUUUCUUAAAACAUUUAAUCUGUCAAAAUCACGUUUUCUAAAUGUUCUUAGAAUAUUAACCUUCCUGGAAACUUUUCUAAAUCCGACAGCAGAUACAGAUGCAGAAAUGGCCUUCAGCUGCUUCAUGUUCCUGUUUCAUGUGUGGAUUCAGCUAGUUUUUAACUGUGUCAGAGCUGAAACCUCAUGCAGAAAUGAGCUUAUCAGCAGGAUUAACUUCUCCACUCCACUGCAGUCUGAUGUUCUGCUGCCCUGUAACUUCAACUCGAGUCUCCUCGGAUCAGAUCUGACUGCAGAUAUAGCAGCAGUGUGGAGUUAUAAAAAUAUAACAGAGGAUAAUCUACUGGAGAUCAGUCUGCAGGGUGUAGUAAUGUUCUGGAAUAACAGAGAGGGACGAAUUAACCCGUUCCCUAAACUCUCAACAUCUGGAAACUUCUCCAUCCUCCUCCAUAAAGUGAAUAAAUCUGAUCUGGGUCUGUACCGCUGUGAACUGUUUAACGGGAUCAACUGCAGCAUCGCUUAUCAGGAAAUUAUUUUAAAUUCUAGAGAUCAUCCUAAAGCUGAUGGUUUAAAAACAGUGCUGAUCACAGCAGCAGCUCUAGGAGGAGGAAUCGUUCUGCUUAGCUUACUGAUAGUCAUUUGGUUCUGCUCAAAACGAAACAUAAAUACCCGGGUAGAGACGGGUGUGUGCAGUACGUUACAUCACUCCCACACAGAGCACAUCGAAUGCCAAUAUACACUGGAUAAUCCUAUAUACGACACAUUUAUUCAGACAGAAACAAACAACCAUGCCAAAGAAGAAGAAGGUAUUUCACCUGAUGCUCCAGUCUACGCCAUCGUCAAGAAAAAGAAAAAGAGCACCAACACUCAGAGGAACUAGACUGAACAGGUUCCUUAAUCAGAACUCUGAUGGGGAUUUAUUUUAGUUAACAUAUGUGAUAAAGAUGUCUGUACAUAAAAGGUCAGUGUAAAAUUAUACUAUGCAACUAUGUCUUUUAGGUGUGUUACAGUGUUAAUAGAUACUGAUAAAUAAAAAGACUCUAACUGCUUUUUGUUGGUGAGCU